This is a long non-coding RNA of Harpia harpyja (harpy eagle), 2766 nucleotides long. RefSeq lists it as uncharacterized. The record is from RefSeq and is a predicted model, not a curated record. Lineage: Eukaryota; Metazoa; Chordata; Aves; Accipitriformes; Accipitridae. The transcript is spliced from 4 exons.
CAGGGGAACCAGAAGCAACGUCCCUGCUCCUUUGGCUGGGCACAGUUUCUGCUUGACGUGCCUUGGGUUGUUCCUUCAGGAGACUGACUUGUGGAGUGAGUCAUAAGUGUAGAGGUGCUGAGAAUUCAGAAAUCAUCUACACAAGGAAGAAAUAAGCUCUGAAUCAUAGUAUAGCUUGAGCAGAAUAGCAUACAGUCCCCAUUGGUGUGUAUCAGCAAGGACAUAUGUUUUACAGCUUCAAUUGAAUAAUUAAUGGAGUUUCUGCCUCCUAACUUUGUAGUACAAACUGGUGAAUCAUCACAGAUCUUUCAGUGUUACCUUUAGGGAAACAGGGAACUACCUUCAAAAAUCUCCUAUUAUAGGCUGAGAUGCUGAUGAAAUGUCAAGUAGAUGAUAUCUGCCUCAUCUGCUGAAUAUAAAGCUCUUGACAAUCGGAAUCUUCUCAUGCGAUAGUGGGUAGGCUUGGUUUGAACCAUACUUUCCAUAAAGUUCAGAAAGAGCUGAACUUACUUUACUUCUGGAACUCGAAAGGAAUCGCAUGGAAAUACUUGAAUUGCCUUCCAACUUACUAUUGCAACAUAUCGGUGAAGUCAGGCUCACCGAAAUUAUUGAUGAAACUCCACUGACGUAAAAACACCUUUACAACUUUACAUUGCAUUAUUUGUUCUUACUUUAUACUUACUGCUGUUCCUGGUUUACAGUAGUAUUAGUUGAGGUUAACAGUAGUCAAAUCAUAGCAGAAUUUUUCUUGAUUUUCUACCUUGUUAGCUGCAGCAGAGUAACUACAAAUGUGUUGGGAAUAGAUGCAUAUAGCUCGCAGAUUUGCCCAAUAUGCUUCCAUCUUCUAACUCAUUCUGUUGUAUUUCUGCAUAACAUUAUUCAAAUCCACCGGUGUCAUUACAUAGGCACCUAAUAGUAAAGAUUGUAUUCGACCCACUGUAACAUCCUAUCGCUUAUAAGCAUCUUAAAGUUCAUUAGAGUAUUUUACUGUUUGAUCCUCGUAGCAGACUUUGAGGUACGUUAAUUGAUUCAGAAGAAUGAAAACCUACGUGUAUGUAUGUACUCUCUUUAGUUAUCAGACCUACUGUGCACAUAUCAUAUAUAGUUACCCUUAUAUAAUUUUUUUCAACUCAGUUGCUUUAUCAAAACUCACUUGCUUUUCAUUAUAGUCAAACACAGGCAGCCUUUCUGAUGUUUUGGCUCCCCUUUUUUAAAAAGUGAGUGUUUUGAAAAUACCAUUCCAUAUGGUAUUGCAAGCUUUCUAAAUAGGUCAAUUUUCAUAGGUAUUUUGUUAAAAAGAAAUCAAAACUAAUACUGAACUCAGAGCACCAAAACAGGUCCAUGUACUUGACAACCGAAAGGAUAGCAAAGAUCUGUGAAAUGUAUCAAUGGUAGUAAUUGCUAUUUAAAUUAUUUUGCUUCUUGCUAGUGAGUGGAAUUGUCUCCUACGACUGUAAAAACGUUAUGAUAACUAGACAAUGUAGAAGUUGUUCUAAGAAUGUGCUCUUUUCUUUUUCUCUAGCUAUUUGAUGGGUAUAAUGCAUUUUGAAGAACAGGCAGAACAUUUUGUGUAUACAAUUAUGCUUACUUUAAUAACAUGUACUGCUAUUUUAGGCCUGUUCAGUACAAAAUCAGACUUGUAAAAUGUAGAAUUUUUUUAAACUCAGUAAUAGACAAGCUACAGCUUGCAGAAUCAAUGCAUUGCUGUGAAGAAAACUGAGAGGGAUGAAAAAUUGGAGGGCAAGACUGGUGAAAGCAAAAGCGAGAUGGUCAGGUAGAGAUGUGCCCUUGGAAUAUUUUAAUUACCGAGUGUGUGCUAGUACAUAGAGCAUCAACAGGGUGUAAAAAUAAAACGGUUAUUCAUAGCUACUCAUUUCUGUUGUGCUGCUUUUUCUAAUUAAGAGAUUUUUUUAAUUAGCUUUGUAGGUUUUGCAUGAUUUGUAGUGACCAUACAAUGUCCAUACAAUGCUUCUUUCAGGAUAUCUGGGUCACUAUUUUAUACUUACAGACUUUUAUCGAUCUUUUGUCAACAUUCACGGUAAAGUUUCCCAGAACAUCUUCUAUGUAAGUACCAGUUUCUAAAUUUGAGAGUUCCAUGGAUCCCAAGCACAGCUGGAACAUAAGGAGAAACAAAAAUCUGAAAUUCUUCAAAUCACAGUACGCUUUAUUGAGAAUGAAAUUCAUCUUAUAUACCAACCUUUAGGACUCUUUAGCACAAGCUAUUUUAUUCUGCUUCAGAGAUUUGGAACAAAACCGUACUUCGCACCACUUUUUGUUAAGAACACUGUAAGCAUAAGUAAUAUUAAAACUGAAUAUGUGGUUAGAGUUGAGAAUAAAUGAGGUCUGCGCAAGAAUUGAGACUGGUAUUUAAAACUUAUGUUUGGUGUCGGGUAGAGUGGUAAGUUAGUGCCUUCCUGCUUGCUUCUGUUCUUUUUAGGUACUCGUUAAGUCAAAGAUGAACCUCACUAGGUAUACAGUAAACAAAAUCUAAUUUUUUUUUACUUCAGUAAAGCAUGUGCAUAAUAUUGUAUUUCAUUUUAAAGAGUAUGUCUUAGAUUCUGUUUUUGCUGGGUUCUAGAAAAAGUUACAAAAUAAAGGAAUAAGCUGUUGAAGAAAUAACUGGAUAUUCAUAGUUUUAGAAAAUGAUACUGCACGAGUUCAUUGAAAUACAAUUGAAAGAUAUAUUGAAGACUGCAAGAACUGACUGGGUUCUAAACACACAUAGUUACCUGGGGUGCAGUUACAAUUCACUACUAGAGCUGUAUC